Molecule: long non-coding RNA, 759 nt
Organism: Oncorhynchus tshawytscha (Chinook salmon)
Lineage: Eukaryota; Metazoa; Chordata; Actinopteri; Salmoniformes; Salmonidae
Source: Ensembl
UGGUGAGUUGUAUCUCUAGACAGAGUCACUUAUAGUGGUUACUCCAGACAGAGACACAGUUAUAGUGGUAUCUCCAGACAGAGACACAGUUGUAGUGCUGAGUUGUAUCUCCAGACAGAGACACAGUUACAGUGGUGAGUUGUAUCUCCAGACCGAGACGCAGUUAUAGUGGUUACUCCAGACAGACACAGUUGUAGUGGUGAGUUGUAUCUCUAGACAGAGACGCCGUUGUAGUGGUGAGUUGUAUCUCCAGACAGAGACACCGUUGUAGUGGUGAGUUGUAUCUCCAGACAGAGACACCGUUGUAGUGGUGAGUUGUAUCUCCAGACAGAGACAGUUAUAGUGGUAUCUCCAGACAGAGACACAGUUAUUGUGGUGAGUUGUAAGCUCUAGACAGAGACACAGUUAUAGUGGUGAGUUGUAUCUCCAGACAGAGACACAGUUGUAGUGGUGAGUUGUAUCUCCAGACAGAGACAGUUAUAGUGGUAUCUCCAGACAGAGACACAGUUAUUGUGGUGAGUUGUAAGCUCUAGACAGAGACAGUUAUAGUGGUGAGUUGUAUCUCCAGACAGAGACACAGUUGUAGUGGUGAGUUGUAUCUCCAGACAGAGACACAGUUGUAGUGGUGAGUUGUAUCUCCAGACAGAGACACAGUUGUAGUGGUGAGUUGUAUCUCCAGACAGAGACACAGUUGUAGUGGUGAGUUGUAUCUCCAGACAGAGAGACAGUUACAGUGGUGAGUUGUAAUCUCCAUACCGA